GCUUUUUGAUUGUUUAACAGGGACCAUAGUGUUCGUGUGUGUAUCAAUAACAGCAGGUAUGUCAUGUUUGGUAUGUGUGUGAUCACUAUUGAAUUUCCUAAGGGUUGGUAUAAUGUAAAGUUGAGUACGAUGUAUUACAUGCAUGUUACCAAAUUCCUUAACAAAGUUCUAACUUAACCUUAUGCAAAGUUUGCAAAGCACAUAACUCAGAGACCAGAAUGUUAAUUAGUGUCAGAGGAGGAGAAUACAGUUUACACCCUGCCCCAAGAUCCUGCUGAUUGGAGCAAACACUUUGGGGUCAGCCCAACUGGAAAGGGUUAAAACCCCCUGACACAAAAGAAACUCUGAGUCUCAUCCACAACAUCUUCCAAGAGUCUCAUCCUAUCCAUCCUUGAGAGAGUCCAACACAUCUUUGGAGUCUCAUCCAACACACCUCUGCAAGAGUCUCAUCCAAUCCAUCUUCCAAGAGUCUCAUCCACUACAUCUCUGCAAGAGUCUCCAUCCACAUCUGAAGGAAGUCUCAUCAACCAAGAGCUUUAGAAGUUCAUCACAAGGAGAUCACGCUUGCUCCGAGACUGCAUCCAGACUGGUUCUUGCAAAGCCUCCAACUCUCGCCUUCGCACCGCUGUGAACCAUUCUUCAAAGUUUUGCAACCCGCCUAUGAGACUCCGCCGGGUUCGCGCCUCACUCUGUUUAUCUUCCUCAUUGGUCUUUCGAGACGCUACAUAAGGCCAACCAGACCGCCGACCAAUCAACAUCGCCGGAAACGCCACGAGGGAAUCCCUGGCAACACAAACGCAAGUGGAGAGAUAUGCUGAUCUAAGGCAGCACGGUGGUGCAGCAGGUGGUAUUGCUGCCUCACAGCUCUUUCUGUUUGGAGUGUCUGUGCAUGUUCUCCCCAGGGUGUAUUCCCAGUUCACACCCAGUGUUCUCAGGAUUGGCUCCGGAUCCACCAUGACUCUGGCCAGGAGAUUACUGAUGAUGAAUGAUAUUAUGGCAGUUCAACAGCAGGUUACCACAGUGGUGUCGCACACAGGAUAUAGUUCUGGCACAUGGACCACACGCAUCUGUGACUGCUGCUCUGAUAUGAGCACUUGGCUCAUGCUGUGAUGACUGCUGUACUGUGUGUUUCUGCUACACCUGUGCCUGGUGCCAAAUGGCACGUGAAAUUAAGAUUCGUGCUCGAGCUGGCACUCGUGCCACUGUGAUCACUCAGCAGGUUAUAGGCAAUAGCCUUUUGAGCUGAUCUGCUAAUGUCCUACAUAUUUUGGUGGAGAAUACAUCAGCUUAAUCUAAUUGAGCUAAAUUUUCCCUACAAUGAAUAUAGACGACCGUUAUAAACAAUUGUCCAAACUCCCUAGGGAGGUAAAAGGGUCUAAAUGACAAGGACAGAAGUUCAGUAU
Pangasianodon hypophthalmus (striped catfish) is the source of this 1403-nucleotide long non-coding RNA. RefSeq lists it as uncharacterized. The transcript is spliced from 5 exons. Lineage: Eukaryota; Metazoa; Chordata; Actinopteri; Siluriformes; Pangasiidae. The record is from RefSeq and is a predicted model, not a curated record.